CAGACAGCUCAGUAACACGUGGCUAACCUGCCCUUAGGAUGGGAACAACCCCGGGAAACUGGGGCUAAUUCCCGAUAGGUGAAGAACUCUGGAAUGAGUCUUUGCCCAAAAGGUGUCGGAUCAUGCUUUCGGCAUCGCCUAAGGAUGGGGCCGCGACCGAUCAGGUUGUUGGUGAGGUAAUGGCCCACCAAGCCUAUAACCGGUGCGGGCCGUGAGAGCGGGAGCCCGGAGAUGGGCACUGAGACAAGGGCCCAGGUCCUACGGGGCGCAGCAGUCGCGAAACCUUUGCAAUACACGAAAGUGUGACAGGGUCAUCCCGAGUGCCGACCGCUGAGGUUGGCUUUUACCCAGUCUAGAAAGCUGGGGGAAUAAGGAGAGGGCAAGUCUGGUGUCAGCCGCCGCGGUAAUACCAGCUCUCCGAGUGGUGUGGACGUUUAUUGGGCCUAAAGCAUCCGUAGCUGGCUGAACAAGUCCCCUGUUAAACCCACCGAUUUAAUCGUUGGUCUGCGGGGGAUACUGUUCGGCUAGGGGACGGGAGAGGCAGACGGUAUUCCCGGGGUAGGGGUGAAAUCCUAUAAUCCCGAGAAGACCACCAGUGGCGAAGGCUGUCUGCUAGAACGCGCCCGACGGUGAGGGAUGAAAGCUGGGGGAGCGAACC
This 658-nucleotide ribosomal RNA is filed under the name uncultured archaeon. RNAcentral describes it as "bacterial SSU rRNA". It matches the Rfam family "Archaeal small subunit ribosomal RNA", at positions 82 to 725 of the family's 1478-position model. The record is from RNAcentral.